GUUACGCUAAUACCGCAUACGAUCUAUGGAUGAAAGCGGGGAUCGCAAGACCUCGUGGCGAUUGGAGCGGCCGAUGUCAGAUUAGCUAGUUGGUGGGGUAAAGGCCCACCAAGGCGACGAUCUGUAGCUGGUCUGAGAGGACGACCAGCCACACUGGGACUGGGACACGGCCCAGACUCCUACGGGAGGCAGCAGUGGGGAAUUUUUGGACAAUGGGCGCAAGCCUGAUCCAGCAAUGCCGCGUGCAGGAAGAAGGCCUUCGGGUUGUAAACUGCCUUUUGUACGGAACGAAAAGGUCUGGGUUAAUACCCUGGGCUCAUGACGGUACCGUAAGAAUAAGCACCGGCUAACUACGUG
This 357-nucleotide ribosomal RNA is filed under the name uncultured bacterium. RNAcentral describes it as "bacterial SSU rRNA". It matches the Rfam family "Bacterial small subunit ribosomal RNA", at positions 157 to 507 of the family's 1533-position model. The record is from RNAcentral.